AGCGUCUGGAAAGGCGCGCGAUACAGGGUGACAGCCCCGUACACAAAAAUGCACAUGCUGUGAGCUCGAUGAGUAGGGCGGGACACGUGGUAUCCUGUCUGAAUAUGGGGGGACCAUCCUCCAAGGCUAAAUACUCCUGACUGACCGAUAGUGAACCAGUACCGUGAGGGAAAGGCGAAAAGAACCCCGGCGAGGGGAGUGAAAAAGAACCUGAAACCGUGUACGUACAAGCAGUGGGAGCCUCUUUAUGGGGUGACUGCGUACCUUUUGUAUAAUGGGUCAGCGACUUAUAUUCUGUAGCAAGGUUAACCGAAUAGGGGAGCCGAAGGGAAACCGAGUCUUAACUGGGCGUUAAGUUGCAGGGUAUAGACCCGAAACCCGGUGAUCUAGCCAUGGGCAGGUUGAAGGUUGGGUAACACUAACUGGAGGACCGAACCGACUAAUGUUGAAAAAUUAGCGGAUGACUUGUGGCUGGGGGUGAAAGGCCAAUCAAACCGGGAGAUAGCUGGUUCUCCCCGAAAGCUAUUUAGGUAGCGCCUCGUGAAUUCAUCUCCGGGGGUAGAGCACUGUUUCGGCAAGGGGGUCAUCCCGACUUACCAACCCGAUGCAAACUGCGAAUACCGGAGAAUGUUAUCACGGGAGACACACGGCGGGUGCUAACGUCCGUCGUGAAGAGGGAAACAACCCAGACCGCCAGCUAAGGUCCCAAAGUCAUGGUUAAGUGGGAAACGAUGUGGGAAGGCCCAGACAGCCAGGAUGUUGGCUUAGAAGCAGCCAUCAUUUAAAGAAAGCGUAAUAGCUCACUGGUCGAGUCGGCCUGCGCGGAAGAUGUAACGGGGCUAAACCAUGCACCGAAGCUGCGGCAGCGACGCUUAUGCGUUGUUGGGUAGGGGAGCGUUCUGUAAGCCUGUGAAGGUGUGCUGUGAGGCAUGCUGGAGGUAUCAGAAGUGCGAAUGCUGACAUAAGUAACGAUAAAGCGGGUGAAAAGCCCGCUCGCCGGAAGACCAAGGGUUCCUGUCCAACGUUAAUCGGGGCAGGGUGAGUCGACCCCUAAGGCGAGGCCGAAAGGCGUAGUCGAUGGGAAACAGGUUAAUAUUCCUGUACUUGGUGUUACUGCGAAGGGGGGACGGAGAAGGCUAUGUUGGCCGGGCGACGGUUGUCCCGGUUUAAGCGUGUAGGCUGGUUUUCCAGGCAAAUCCGGAAAAUCAAGGCUGAGGCGUGAUGACGAGGCACUACGGUGCUGAAGCAACAAAUGCCCUGCUUCCAGGAAAAGCCUCUAAGCAUCAGGUAACAUCAAAUCGUACCCCAAACCGACACAGGUGGUCAGGUAGAGAAUACCAAGGCGCUUGAGAGAACUCGGGUGAAGGAACUAGGCAAAAUGGUGCCGUAACUUCGGGAGAAGG
RNAcentral lists this ribosomal RNA (1403 nucleotides) under Escherichia coli. RNAcentral's name for it is "partial 23S ribosomal RNA". It matches the Rfam family "Bacterial large subunit ribosomal RNA", at positions 337 to 1746 of the family's 2925-position model. The record is from RNAcentral. Lineage: Bacteria; Pseudomonadati; Pseudomonadota; Gammaproteobacteria; Enterobacterales; Enterobacteriaceae.